AGUGAACGCUGGCGGUAGGCCUAACACAUGCAAGUCGAACGGCAGCACAGUAAGAGCUUGCUCUUACGGGUGGCGAGUGGCGGACGGGUGAGGAAUACAUCGGAAUCUACUUUUUCGUGGGGGAUAACGUAGGGAAACUUACGCUAAUACCGCAUACGACCUACGGGUGAAAGCAGGGGAUCUUCGGACCUUGCGCGAUUGAAUGAGCCGAUGUCGGAUUAGCUAGUUGGCGGGGUAAAGGCCCACCAAGGCGACGAUCCGUAGCUGGUCUGAGAGGAUGAUCAGCCACACUGGAACUUAGACACGGUCCAGACUCCUACGGGGGGCAGCAGUGGGGAAUAUUGGACAAUGGGCGCAAGCCUGAUCCAGCCAGACCGCGUGGGUGAAGAAGGCCUUCGGGUUGUAAAGCCCUUUUGUUGGGAAAGAAAAGCAGCAGGUUAAUACCCCGCUGUUCUGACGGUACCCAAAGAAUAAGCACCGGCUAACUUCGUG
RNAcentral lists this ribosomal RNA (492 nucleotides) under uncultured bacterium. RNAcentral's name for it is "partial 16S ribosomal RNA". It matches the Rfam family "Bacterial small subunit ribosomal RNA", at positions 29 to 507 of the family's 1533-position model. The record is from RNAcentral.